This 305-nucleotide ribosomal RNA is filed under the name uncultured bacterium. RNAcentral's name for it is "partial 16S ribosomal RNA". It matches the Rfam family "Bacterial small subunit ribosomal RNA", at positions 337 to 659 of the family's 1533-position model. The record is from RNAcentral.
ACCUACGGGGGGCAGCAGUGGGGAAUAUUGGACAAUGGGGGGAACCCUGAUCCAGCGACGCCGCGUGAGUGAAGAAGUAUUUCGGUAUGUAAAGCUCUAUCAGCAGGGAAGAAAAUGACGGUACCUGACUAAGAAGCCCCGGCUAACUACGUGCCAGCAGCCGCGGUAAUACGUAGGGGGCAAGCGUUAUCCGGAUUUACUGGGUGUAAAGGGAGCGCAGACGGCUGUGCAAGUCUGGAGUGAAAGGCGGGGGCCCAACCCCCGGACUGCUCUGGAAACUGUAAAGCUGGAGUGCAGGAGAGGUA